This 465-nucleotide ribosomal RNA is filed under the name Vreelandella stevensii. RNAcentral's name for it is "partial 16S ribosomal RNA". It matches the Rfam family "Bacterial small subunit ribosomal RNA", at positions 338 to 795 of the family's 1533-position model. Lineage: Bacteria; Pseudomonadati; Pseudomonadota; Gammaproteobacteria; Oceanospirillales; Halomonadaceae. The record is from RNAcentral.
CCUACGGGUGGCAGCAGUGGGGAAUAUUGGACAAUGGGCGAAAGCCUGAUCCAGCCAUGCCGCGUGUGUGAAGAAGGCCUUCGGGUUGUAAAGCACUUUCAGUGGGGAAGAAAGCCUUGGGGCUAAUACCCUCGAGGAAGGACAUCACCCACAGAAGAAGCACCGGCUAACUCCGUGCCAGCAGCCGCGGUAAUACGGAGGGUGCGAGCGUUAAUCGGAAUUACUGAGCGUAAAGCGCGCGUAGGCGGUCUGAUAAGCCGGUUGUGAAAGCCCCGGGCUCAACCUGGGAACGGCAUCCGGAACUGUCAGGCUAGAGUGCAGGAGAGGAAGGUAGAAUUCCCGGUGUAGCGGUGAAAUGCGUAGAGAUCGGGAGGAAUACCAGUGGCGAAGGCGGUCUUCUGGACUGACACUGACGCUGAGGUGCGAAAGCGUGGGUAGCAAACAGGAUUAGAUACCCCAGUAGUC